Molecule: ribosomal RNA, 619 nt
Filed under: Pichia kudriavzevii
Lineage: Eukaryota; Fungi; Ascomycota; Pichiomycetes; Pichiales; Pichiaceae
Description: eukaryotic LSU rRNA
Rfam family: Eukaryotic large subunit ribosomal RNA
Source: RNAcentral
GCAGAGUUCUCGGAGUCACGAGCAUAUCAAUAAGCGGAGGAAAAGAAACCAACAGGGAUUGCCUCAGUAGCGGCGAGUGAAGCGGCAAGAGCUCAGAUUUGAAAUCGUGCUUUGCGGCACGAGUUGUAGAUUGCAGGUUGGAGUCUGUGUGGAAGGCGGUGUCCAAGUCCCUUGGAACAGGGCGCCCAGGAGGGUGAGAGCCCCGUGGGAUGCCGGCGGAAGCAGUGAGGCCCUUCUGACGAGUCGAGUUGUUUGGGAAUGCAGCUCCAAGCGGGUGGUAAAUUCCAUCUAAGGCUAAAUACUGGCGAGAGACCGAUAGCGAACAAGUACUGUGAAGGAAAGAUGAAAAGCACUUUGAAAAGAGAGUGAAACAGCACGUGAAAUUGUUGAAAGGGAAGGGUAUUGCGCCCGACAUGGGGAUUGCGCACCGCUGCCUCUCGUGGGCGGCGCUCUGGGCUUUCCCUGGGCCAGCAUCGGUUCUUGCUGCAGGAGAAGGGGUUCUGGAACGUGGCUCUUCGGAGUGUUAUAGCCAGGGCCAGAUGCUGCGUGCGGGGACCGAGGACUGCGGCCGUGUAGGUCACGGAUGCUGGCAGAACGGCGCAACACCGUCCCGUCGUAA